GAUGAACGCUGGCGGCGUGCCUAAUACAUGCAAGUCGAGGGAACGGACGAGAAGCUUGCUUAGCUGAUGUUAGCGGCGGACGGGUGAGUAACACGUGGAUAACCUACCUAUAAGACUGGGAGAGGUUAGGGAAACCGUAGCUAAUACAGGAUGAGAUUUUGAACCGCAUGGUUAAAAAGUGAAAGACGGUCUUGGUGGCACUUGUAGAUGGAUCCGCGCUGCAUUAGCUAGUUGGUAAGGUAACGGCUUACCAAGGCAACGAUGCAUAGCCUACCUGAGAGGAUGAUCUGCCCCACCGCACCUGAACCGCGGUCCAGACUCCUCUGCGAGGCAGCACUGGGGUAUCUGCUACAAUGCGCGAAACCCUAACCUAGCACCGCCGCGCGGCUUAUGAAGGUCCUCGGAUCUUAAAACUCUGUUAUUAUUGAAGCACAUAUGUCUAACUCUCUCUACACAUCCUGACGGUACCUAAUCAGUAAGCCACGGCUAACUCCGUG
RNAcentral lists this ribosomal RNA (497 nucleotides) under uncultured bacterium. RNAcentral describes it as "partial 16S ribosomal RNA". It matches the Rfam family "Bacterial small subunit ribosomal RNA", at positions 28 to 507 of the family's 1533-position model. The record is from RNAcentral.